GACGAACGCUGGCGGCGUGCUUAACACAUGCAAGUCGAGCGGUAAGGCCCUUUCGGGGGUACGACGAGCGGCGAACGGGUAGAGUAACACGUGGGUGACCUGCCCUCAGCUCUGGGAUAAGCCUGGGAAACCGGGUCUAAUACCGGAUAUGACUCCAUGACGCAUGUUGUGGGGUGGAAAGCCUUGUGCGGCUGAGGAUGGGCCCGCGGCCUAUCAGCUUGUUGGUGGGGUGAGGCCUACCAAGGCGACGACGGGUAGCCGGCCUGAGAGGGCGACCGGCCGACACUGGGACUGAGACACGGCCCAGACUCCUACGGGAGGCAGCAGUGGGGAAUCUUGCGCAAUGGGCGAAAGCCUGACGCAGCGACGCCGCGUGAGGGAUGACGGCCU
RNAcentral lists this ribosomal RNA (390 nucleotides) under uncultured bacterium. RNAcentral describes it as "bacterial SSU rRNA". It matches the Rfam family "Bacterial small subunit ribosomal RNA", at positions 28 to 417 of the family's 1533-position model. The record is from RNAcentral.